RNAcentral lists this long non-coding RNA (8722 nucleotides) under Sus scrofa (pig). Its description in RNAcentral is "lncRNA (ENSSSCG00060059032.1)". Lineage: Eukaryota; Metazoa; Chordata; Mammalia; Artiodactyla; Suidae. The record is from RNAcentral.
UCCCUCCCCCCCCCCCUUUCUUUUUUUGGUGACUGAAGUUGGGAUGGCCGUGGGUGUGCCUCCAAGGGCAUCUUCCUCAAUCGUAGGUGAGUAUGGGCCUGACAGUGACAAUAUUCUGCAGUCUCUCAGCUGCAAGUGGUGGUGAAAAUAGGCUCUCCACCAUUGUCACCGCACGCAUUUUGCUCUUUCUUUCCUUCUCUGCUCAGGAUGAAGGACACGAGCCGCAAGAACAACAUGUUUGCACAGUUUCGGAAAAACGAGCGAGACAAGCAGAAAUUGAUUGACACUGUGGCCAAGCAACUCCGGGGACUCAUCAGCAGCCACCACUCGUGAAGGCUGGCCUCGGGCCGACAGAGGCCGCUCGCUGCAGCCCCGGAUCCCGGGAGCCAGCGCUGGCUGGCCCUGCAUUUGUGCAUUCUUCUUCAAAGAGAGCAGAUGUAUUUUUUUAAUAACCCAUGUACAGUAUUCGCAUAACCCUUCCCUUGAGUAACAGAGGCGCGAGAGUCAGCAAGUCCAUGAGAGGUUGCUAGGCUGGGAUUCAGGCAAAGUUACAGCACACUGUCUGUCCCUUCCUAGGGAUGGUCGUGUCACCUGUCCCAGUAUGACCAGCCACCUUUCAUCCGUGGCUCUAGAGCUUAGGUCUGGGCUCAGGAACUACACAAACAAAAUGGGUGCUUGGCACUGGGAGGGAGGUGAGUAGGCAGGAAGUACAUCCUGUUGGCUCCUAGGUGCCCCAUUCACUGCAGAGGGGAGGCCGAUUCUUCUUGACACAAAGAAAGAGCCUGGAAAACAGUUCUGUUUAGCGUAGGAAAGACCAGCGCCCAGUUCCCAAGUUGUGAGGUUCAGCUCCUCAGUGCACUGACUUUCACUGAUCAGGGAACAAGUGUGGCAUGUGGCAAGAUGAUGGCUUCACCCCAAUACCCCUCGCCCCCAUCCCGCUGGGGAUGGCAUUUUUUAGCCUCGAUCUGACCCAGUGCUUUUACUUCUAGUUUUUCUGGGCCAAAGAAGAGCUGAGUGUGCAGUGGGAAUAAUCGGACCUCAUGACUAACUGUAGGUGCCCCCCACACCAGGAGGAGUUUUACUGGAUCUGGAGAGCCAGUGUGAAUGGAAUCAGAGCCCCAGUUCCUUCCCCCUUCCUCUCCUUGUCUUCUUUCAGGGUCAGGGCACUUGGUUCAGGGCCUAAGUCAGCAGUUAUUUCCAUAGACAGAGUCUCAGACGUGCCCUCCUCCAGCAGCGUCACCUGGGAUAGUCAGAUUCCAGAAGCCUGAAAAUGGUCCUUACUUUACCCUUAGGCGAAAUCUGAAGAUGACUUGGGAUUGUUCCUUUGUGUUUUAAAACCAGCUUUCUGGCCCCCAUCAUUAGAGGAAAUGGCACCAGCUCUGUACUGUGGGGACAGCCGUAACUGGACUGGAUGCCUCUAGGGGUGGAACCACUGUCACCGUGAAAUACAGCAGGUCGACCAUGGCUAGUGGUUUCUUUCCUCUGGCCCAGCUGUCCUUCGCUGAGUCAUAUCCUGGAAAAGAAGCUCUUCUUGCUCAAGCCUGACGCUUCCAUCCCCUUUUGAGGUCCCCAUAGCUGUCUUGUGGCUUCACCUGAGAAAAAUCACCUGUUAUCCCAUCCCUCCAGCUCUGGAGUUUGCAAAAGGAGCCUGGCCCCGUUAGCUCGGAAGCUGUGUCCACUCUCUGAAAUGGGCUCCCGAGACCUAAUGCAAGGGCUUUGCUGGGAGGUCAGACAGAGAAACCUGCCCUUUAAAACACUUCAGGAAGAUGCUACUAAGGCUACUGGCAAGCGUAUAAUUGUGGAUCACCAAACUAUGACAAAUAAGCCACACAGGCAUUUCCAGCUUGGAUUAGUGGGAGGAAAGACUCAUCAAACAGAAUUCUUCACCACCUUUGUCAGCAACUGAGUUGCUUCUGGGGAAGGCAGUGUUUCCUUUUUCACAACCCUCCCCCCCCAAAAAAAAAAUAUUGUACCACAGCUUGGAAACCGUGGGGAAGAAAACAUGCACUCAGACGUGCAGGUUCCCUCAAAGCUGGAGAGGCCAGGCUGCAUGUGGGCUCUGCAGAAGCCUCCCGAGCCUCGUCCUAAGGGCUAGACAGUCGGCCCAGGGCCUUAGCUUGAGGCUCAGAGAUGUAGGGCUGCCACCCAGAGUCUCGAUAGCCAUGGGGAGGCAGGGAGCCAUGGGAAUAAGACCCCAAGUGCCAUCCCUCCCGCUCGAGACUUUAUUAGAAAAGAGCAAGAAGAGUCACUCUCAUCCUAUUGCUUAAGAAGGGACCCAAACACCCUCUUGCACUGGACCGCAGUUGGAACAAGGUCUCUUCAGGUUUGAGUGCUGAGACUUUGAAGUGGAACUGAGAGAACCUUAAGCAGGUCACAUGGUUUUUUUAAGCAUUGUCAUUGCUGCUCUUUUCUCAAACCCGAACCCUGGAAACACUGUGCUAUAGAAGAGAAGGUGGAUGGGGGGAGAGGAAAGAGGGUAGCCUGCCCCUUGCACACACAAGUCCUUCUGCCAAAAAGGCUUAUCCAAGCUCAAGGCUCCUGGGUGGAUCUUUGUUAGAUCCCUCUCCCCUCUUGGUCUGCCUUCAGUCUUCCCAAACAGAACCAACAUGCAGCCACUGCGCUGUCUGUGGAGACAUGCUGUUUGAAUUGGUGAAGUCGGAUUUUUCAGUUUUGUCUCGAGGCCUCUAGCUGGGCCAGCCCUUGAGAGGACUUGUGCAAAGCAUGGGUGCCCAGACUCCUAAGAUCUGGCCUCAAAAUGCCCAGAGAUGUACAAGUGCCCCGGAGGUCUCUUAGAAGGGCCAGAACGUGGUGCCCAGGAGACUUCCAGUCCUCUAGUUGGCCAAGUUCUUGGCGAAAUCAGGUCCUUAUUCCUGGAGGGACAGUCCAGCUGGGGACCCUAGUGGGUUUCAGUCAUAGUUUAGGCAGCUGGCUUGGUUUCAACCUAUUUCGUAGCGCAGUCCCUUUGAGGAGAGUGUGCCUGGAGCUCUUGGGCCUGGGGAAGAGCAGGCCCUCAAAAGUGGGGGCAGCGGCGCAUCCCUGUUGGUAAAGGGACUAUACAGUUUCCGGGCAGCAGUUGCCAGUAUUUUCAUCGUGUCCCAGGCCUCCUCCGCGUCAGCCUAGCUUCCCUGCACACUUGACAAGUGCUUGUUCAGCAGAUCCCAGACCCAGGGCCCUUUACCCAGGAUUGGCAUUGGCUGUGGCUUUCCCUGUAAGGCCUCUGAGCACCCUCCCUGGGGCCUUCUCCCAGGACUCUGCACCUGGCUGCCUCCGUUGCCUCUCUCUCUUUCUUUUUUUUUUUCCCCGCCUGGGUGUGCAGUUACUUUUCACUAAUGUGUUCGAAAUGGCCUUUUUUAUUUUGCACAUGUCUGGGGGAAAUUUCAGAAAGUCCAUUUUUAACUCUAAAGGGAACCUUCUUCUUUAAAGCUCACCAGUAAAGCUACUGAUACCGAUGGGCCUGGCAAUGAGUAGAAAACCUCCUCUGUGAAAAGAGCAUGUUUAUCCUCCUGUACGUUUGCCUCUUUUAAUUGCUAUUAAAUGACACAGCCUAUAUAUCUGUUCAAAAGCCACAGCGUUGUCUCCUGACUUUUCUGUUCUCCCACCCCUUUUGCACAGUGCAGCCAUGGUUGGGGAUCUGAGGACUGACCCUGCACCCCCUCCCCUGGACUGAGGACUAGAGCAGGCAGAAGCCUGGUGGGGAGGAGAAAGCCUGCCCGCCAGACACGGCAAGGAGUCGUAUUGGGACCUUGGAGACAUUGCGAACUGCUAGGUUAGGCUUUCCCGUCUCUACCGUUGACACUGGCAUUGUCGUCAUCAUCAUCAAGAGAACUGACUCUUGAAAGGCCUGAUUUAUGCGGGGUAUCAGGCUAGGCAGCGGGGGGCUUUCAGUGUGUUUGGAACACUGGCCCCGCCGUGGAAAGGCUCCUGGUUAAAACGGAGCCGUGCGGGAUUCUCCAGAAUGAAGCCAGGGUGGGGGAAGGAGGGUAAUGAGCCCAUCGUGGAGCUCAGUGGGGGAGAGGGACAGGCCUUCUGGCCUGGUGUUGGGACAGCUCUGGUCGGAGAAGACAGUGCAGAGAAAUCAGGAUGUUAAUGAGCCCGGCCUUGAAGGAAUUCAAUUCGGACACCAUUAAGCUAUGGGAUAUUUUAGGUGCAGAAGUCAGAGAUGAGAGUGAAAAAUUACUGCAAGCCUGAUAUAGGCUGGGAGGGUCGCGGGGAGCCCAGCAGGCAUUAUGUGCAAGCAUGGUGAAUAAGGCCCGACAGGUUUGUGUCACAACACCCAGCCUUCUUGGCCCCGGGGCUGGCAUGGAAGCCAUGGGAACAGGCCGGAGAGAAUUUCUUCGGUAACGAGUCUGACUACGGCAACUGGGCUUUGAUGCCUGAGAGACCUGGGCUUCAAUUCCUGCUGUGCCACUUCCUAGCUGAAUGACCUUGAACAAUUAACUCCCUAAGUCUCAUUAUCCUCAUCAGUGAAAGCAGAAUCCAGGUGCCUAAUUUACAGGGUUGUUGCGAAGUGUACCUGAGCUAUGGGUGAUCAAAACGCUGAGCCAGUUGCCAGCUUCAGCACGGAAACUCUUUCAGGCCAGGCCUUUCCCUCCAGCCCCUCCACUUCCACAACACACUCGGAGCUGAGCCUGGAACAGAAGUGUCCAGAGUUGGUCUCCUGGCUUCUCUUCCCCAAACCCAUUCCAGGGUUAAUGCUACUGAGGUCCCUUGCGCCCCUGUGCAGACACAGCGCGACAAGCCCUUCAAAUGAGACAACCAGCUGCCUGCUCAGAGUAGUGCCAGUCCUUCAGGUAGAAUCUGCCCCUCAAGACCACCUGGCAUCUUCUCUGCCAAAACAUAUACCUCCUAGAAUUCAGGAGUUCUGGACUGGAGGUCCAUGACCUUUGGAGUGUGUGUAUGUGGGUAUGUGUGUGUGUACGUGAGUUCAGGCUUGCAUCCACUCACUUUUCUGGCGAGAAGGUACAUGGCUUUCCUCAAUGUCUAAGGAAGAUUCAUGACCAAAAUCCUGAAUAAUAACCAAAUCCCUUUCCAAGUGUAGAUCUCCCUCUGAGGGAAAGCCAGAUGCUCAGAGCGGUUACCCCCCUCCCUGCCUCACGGAGUUCUGGCAGGAAAGUUUUGGUUUUUUUUCUUUUUUUUUCUUUUUCUUUUUUUGUCUUUUCUAGGGCCACUCCCGUGGCAUAUGGAGGCUCCCAAGCUAGGGGUCCAAUCGGAGCUGUAGGUGCCAGCCUACACCACAGCCACAGCAAUGUGGGAUCCCAGCCAUGUCUGCCACCUACACCACAGCUCAUGGCAACACUGGAUCCUUAACCCACUGAGCAAGGCCAGGGAUCGAACCCACAACCUCAUCGUUCCUAGACAGAUUCAUUAACCACUGAGCCGCGACCGGGAACUCCCGGCAGGAGAGUUAUAAGGCCUCUUCCAAGAGCCUCCACUUGAACCCCAGGUCGCACCCAGAGUCCCGUACAGCCACCAUUCCUAGCAUUAUCUCCCCAAACCCGUUUAGGGGACUGAGGUGGGCACGAGGACCCUGCAAGUCUAUGAAUACAGAGACUCCCAGCUGGUUGAGGAGAUCGCAGACCAGAGGGUCAGGUAUCAAGGCUUUGGGCCAUCAGCGCCAAACUGACCCCGACUCAGCCCAGCAUGUUUUCCACAGCUUCUGAGUCUAAGCCCUGAUGGGUACAAAAUCUUGCCCAAGCCCAUGCUCCGAGGGUAACCAAACCAAACCAGGAAGACAGGUGAAGCGGUCACCAGCUCGCCCCUUUUCUCACCAGGCAGGAUGGGGAGCACAAGGGGAGGGAGGGAAGGAGAAAAAGUGCCAGACCCUUUCCCCAGAGGCCUCCGUUUGGAAUCGAAUGGACAUAUUUUCGGGGAAUGAGAGAGGCUGCAGGCCCAGGAGAGCCGAAGACAAAGGCUCUCGAGGAAGUGUAGGGAGGGGGAGAGGGAAAGGGGGGGGCCUGGGCAUUGUGUGAGAGAGCCACCCCUCUAUCUGUUUCAAUCACUGCCAGGGUUAGGGUUACCCUGCAUUUGGGGCCCCAGCUGUUCUGUGGGGUCUGUGACACCCGCUGUUGUGAUGCUAAUGGAGGGGGUCGGGGGCACCCCUGGGGUAGCCGACCCACAGCAGCUCCUGGGGAGAAUCCAAGGGCCUAUUCCUUCAGGGAGGGGGCACUCUGGGAGCCCAGAACGGAGCCCAAGGCCACAGCCCCCCCUCCCAGUCUGAACCCACUGCUAAGUGUACCUUCCAAGCCCAAGCUGUGACCUUCCUCUCUCCAAAGCUCCAGAAAAGGAAUGAAAUCUGAACAUUGAGGCGCUUUUCUGGCCCUAAACAAUCCUUCCAUUCUCUAGGCUCAAUGAUGGGUCUAUUUCCUCCUGUAAAUGGGUCUCGUAAUCUUCAACUUUUACCUUUGCUUCUAAGGGUAAUUAAUUGGCUCUCCCUCUUGUUCUCCCCACACACUCCCCUCUCUGUUACAAGGCUCAGGUUAAGCUGGGUGGAUGGCUUUUCUUUCUUUCUCUUCCACGGAGUGCUUAUUUUUAAAGCUGAUGGAGUAACGCCCUGCCCUCUCCAGUGAACCUCUUCUCCAGAGAAGCCUCCUGGGGAAACACCACUUCCCUGGGCAAAGGACAGGGGCCUCCGACUGCCCAGCUCGUGGCUGUUUAGUUAGCCAGUUCUGUUAGCAGCCGUUUUGCCGGGGAUGUCUCCAAGGUUUUAGGGGAGAUACCAGGGAAGGAGUUUUCAGGUAACACCCAGGAGCAGAGUAGAAGGUUCAGUGGUGAUCUGAACAUGGGAGACAGAGGCAGAGCUGGGUGUGGGAGAAAGUGAGACCAAAGGAUCAGAGUCUUGGAGGCCCCCCCCCGCCCAUGGAGAAUGAGGAAAAACAGUAAAGCCUUGAGCGCAGGGCUGCUUAAGGGCAUCGAGGUAGGAAGGGUGGGGGUAGGGCCAUCCAGGGCAGCUGGCAGCGAGGCUGCCUUGAGGAGGUGGGUGGUGCAGGCAGGAAGCUGAACCAGAGAGACACUGAUGGUUUCUAGGGUCUGCACCCUUGUCUGAUGCCUCUGCUUUUCGAAGGCAAGAAUGACACCGUCCGCCUGUCUGAAUCUCCUACAGCCCCUUGGCCAGCAAAUGGCAAAUGGGCACUUCGAGACCAAAUGCAUCACACUUGGUAGUGAUUCACUGCCAUGGUGGGGGCCGUGAGAGCAGCACUUCUUGCUAGGAGGAAUUCAUUGUCAUCGAUGCUCUUUAGAAAGCACGUAUGGUGAUGAUAAAAAGCAAACCAACAUUUAGUCCAUUUUACCAUGGCUUAAAAUCCUCUGCCAACAUGUUCCACUCCAUUCUUGGUAUGCUGUGGAGUAAGACACGAGCUGAAAACAGAUUCAGGUGAGAAACCAGGGUAGCAAAUGUAAUUCCUGAUGGGCAGGACGGGGUUUGGGUAGUGAUGGUGAAGGCGUGUGUACAGUUUCCCAUGUAUGUGGAUGUUGGUAUCUGACAGAACUGCUGGAGGAUUGCCCCACUGAGUCCUAGUCCCAUUUCUCACAGGAUGGCCUCAUUCUUUGCAAUCAUUUAUAUAGAUAUAUUGGAGCUCCCAUCAUGGCUCGGUGGAAACAAAUCUGACUAGUAUCCAUGAGGAUGCAGGUUCCAUCCCUGGCCUCGCUCAGUGGGUUAAGGAUCCUGUGUUGCUGUGAGCUGUGGUGUAGGUCGCAGUCGUGGCUUGGAUCCGUGUUGCUGUGGCUGUGGUGUAGGCCGGUGGCUACAGCUCUGAUUCGACCCCUAGCCUGGGAACCUCCAUGUGCCAUGGGUGCAGCCCUAAAAAAACAAAAACAAAACAAACAAAAUAAUAAUAUACAUAUAUAUACUUUUCAUAAAAAGUAUAUAAUUAUGGAGUAUUAAAUUAUAGAUUUUUCCCCCACUUAAUGUGUCUUAAACAUCUUUUGUGGCAUCUUCAUCCUCUGUGAAGCCCCUAAGUAUUUCCAGUGCAUGGAUGUACCUUGAAUUUAUUUAUGUCUAAUUCAGAAUUGAGGAAUAUUUGAGAUGUUUCCAGUAUUCACAAUGAUAAACAACAUUUCAGGAUAUUUGUAUAUAUCUUUGCCUUCUUGCUUAGGUAUUUCUAUAGUGUAAAAUUUCAGGAGUGGAAUUGAUUGGUUAAAGGCUGUAAACAUUAUAGAUAUUAGUGAAAAAUGAAUAUUACUCUCUUGAAAAUCACCAACUGACACUCUCUCCAAUAAUACACAAAAGAGUUUGUUUCUUUAUAUUAUCUUCAGCCUUAAGGAAUUUCAGUAUUCCUCAUUCUUGCCAACCUUAUAAGUAAAAAAUGAUUUCCCUUUGUUUUGUUGAUAUUUCUCUAAUUUAUAGAGUUCAACCAUCCACUUAUAUUGUUUAUUGCUCAUUUAUAUUUCCUCUUGUAUGAAGUAUUUAUCCAUUUAUUCUUCCUUUAAAAAGUACAUUGUUUCUGGAGUUCCCUUUGUGGCUCAGUGGCUAACGAAUCCGACUAGAAACCAUGAGGUUGUGGGUUCAAUCCCUGGCCUUGCUCAGUGGGUUAAGGAUCCGGCGUUGCCGUGAGCUGUGGUGUAGGUUGCAGACGAGGCUCGGAUCCCGCGUUGCUGUGGCUCUGGCGUAGGCCGAUGGCUACAGCUCCGAUUCGACCCUAGCCUGGGAACCUCCAUAUGCCUCAGGAGCGGCCCAAGAAAUGGCAAAAAGACAAAAAAAAAAAAAAAAAAAAAAAAAAAAAAAAGU